Molecule: ribosomal RNA, 507 nt
Filed under: uncultured bacterium
Lineage: Bacteria
Description: bacterial SSU rRNA
Rfam family: Bacterial small subunit ribosomal RNA
Source: RNAcentral
GACGAACGCUGGCGGCGUGGAUUAGGCAUGCAAGUCGAACGGUAUCAUCCUUUCGGGGGUGAGAGAGUGGCGAACUGGUGAGUAACACGUAGGUUAUCUACCCUCAAGACGGGGGACAACCCAGGGAAACUUGGGCUAAAUACCGGAUGUGAGCAACUUUUAGUUGUUUGAAAGGUGGCGUAAGCUGUCGCUUGGGGAUGAGCCUGCGUCCUAUUAGUUAGUUGGUGAGGUAACGGCUCACCUAGGCAAUGAUAGGUAGGCGGCCUUAACGGGUGGUCGCCCACACUGGGAUUGAGAUACGGCCCAGACUCCUACGGGAGGCAGCAGGUCGAGAAUAGUCUACAAUGGUCGGAAGACUGAUAGUGCGACGCCGCGUGAACGAUGAAUCCCUUCGGGGUGUAAAGUUCUUUUAUAUGUGAGCAGUGCUUCUUAUAUUAACAGUAUGGGGAGAGAGAUAUUAGCAUAUGAAUAAGCAACGGCUAACUCCGUGCCAGCAGCCGCGGUAAG